RNAcentral lists this long non-coding RNA (1027 nucleotides) under Monodelphis domestica (gray short-tailed opossum). RNAcentral describes it as "lncRNA (ENSMODG00000049676.1)". The record is from RNAcentral. Lineage: Eukaryota; Metazoa; Chordata; Mammalia; Didelphimorphia; Didelphidae.
CUGCGUGAUGUGUCCACCCCAGGCUUGUUCCCACUAAAAGAAACUGAAGCUCUUUCUUGGGAAUUGAAAAUGAAAUCCUGGUACAGAGCUGACACUUUCUCAUGGCUCAAGAGGAAAGCAGUGGGCUGUCCCUCUAUAGUAUCUAGAGAUUCACUCUCUUUCUUUCAUUUCCUAGGGCUUUUCUUCCUCCUCAACUCUACCCACAGGCUAUUCUUAUAGUUAUUUUACCAUUUUUAUAGGGUCCCUCUUAAAUAACAGUGGGAAAAGAGGAAGUGUCUCCAAAGUAUCUUAUGACAAGCCCAAAUUCAUCCAAAUAGCUGUGCCCUCUGAACCAAGCCUCGUUGGCCAGCCUGCCACAAAGAACGAACAUUUCCUUAGUUGUUCAGUGACACUUGUGGCUAAAAGGUUAUGCAACACUGCAUAGGAGCAAAAAUAAGGGAGGGAGAGCAGGAACACAGAAAUCGAGUCACAGGGAAGAAGCAGCUGGAAGCCUCCUCAGCUGAGCUAUUCUGUUUGUAGGUUUUGGAAAUGAUGAGCACACGAAGCAUCACUACUGAGGAAGUGUGACUUCCUGGAGUUUGUGUUUUCUUGGUGGUUGACAUGGCCAGAGCUUGCUGUAGCCUCUCCAUUUUUACCAUCAAGGAGGGGCAUCCCAGGCAGGGUCAAAAGGACAAGGUACAACUUCUGGCCUAGGAGAGAAAGAAAAAGCAAGGCAAAUAAAUAUCUCAUCAUAGAGGUGUAUAGGACAGAUAGCAAAUGUGUAAGUUCCAAAAGGUCUAAAGAUGCCAAAAGAACAAUGAGAAAUAAGUCAAACUUGCCUCAGAGCAACAGUGGCUAAUGACAAGGGAAAUGUCUUCAUGAGAGUAGAAUGUCAUACUGCGGACAGGAAAAGCCAAGGAAGGAGACAGAUUCAAGUAGCAUGAGUCCUUGUGACAAAGACACAUGUCAUCAAUCAACUCAAGAAAGAAGCAGAUCUGGGGUCUUCCCAGAGAGCUUGGAGCCAAGGGGAGCUGCAUAAGGACUCUAU